GAUGACCUUUGGCGGCGUGCUUAACACAUGCAAGUCGAGCGAAGCGCUUUGGAAAGAUUCUUCGGAUGAUUUCCUUUGUGACUGAGCGGCGGACGGGUGAGUAACGCGUGGGUAACCUGCCUCAUACGGGGGGAUAACAGUUAGAAAUGACUGCUAAUACCGCAUAAGACCACGGUACCGCAUGGUACAGUGGUAAAAACUCCGGUGGUAUGAGAUGGACCCGCGUCUGAUUAGGUAGUUGGUGGGGUAACGGCCUACCAAGCCGACGAUCAGUAGCCGACCUGAGAGGGUGACCGGCCACAUUGGGACUGAGACACGGCCCACACUCCUACGGGAGGCAGCAGUGGGGAAUAUUGCACAAUGGAGGAAACUCUGAUGCAGCGACGCCGCGUGAAGGAUGAAGUAUUUCGGUAUGUAAACUUCUAUCAGCAGGGAAGAAAAUGACGGUACCUGACUAAGAAGCCCCGGCUAACUACGUGCCAGCAGCCGCGGUAAUACGUAGGGGGCAAGCGUUAUCCGGAUUUACUGGGUGUAAAGGGAGCGUAGACGGCACGGCAAGCCAGAUGUGAAAGCCCGGGGCUCAACCCCGGGACUACAUUUGGAACUGCUGAGCUAGAGUGUCGGAGAGGCAAGUGGAAUUCCUAGUGUAGCGGUGAAAUGCGUAGAUAUUAGGAGGAACACCAGUGGCGAAGGCGGCUUGCUGGACGAUGACUGACGUUGAGGCUCGAAAGCGUGGGGAGCAAACAAGAUUAGAUACCCUGGUAGUCCACGCCGUAAACG
This 780-nucleotide ribosomal RNA is filed under the name uncultured bacterium. RNAcentral describes it as "bacterial SSU rRNA". It matches the Rfam family "Bacterial small subunit ribosomal RNA", at positions 28 to 808 of the family's 1533-position model. The record is from RNAcentral.